UACGGAGGGGGCCAGCGUUGUUCAGAAUUAUUGGGCGUAAAGGGCGCGUAGGCGGUCGAGUAAGUCUGACGUGAAAUCCCUUGGCUCAACCAAGGAACUGCGUCUUAAACUGCUCGGCUUGAGUCCGGGAGAGGGUAGUGGAAUUCCCAGUGUAGCGGUGAAAUGCGUAGAUAUUCGGAAGAACACCAGUGGCGAAGGCGACUCACUGGACAUGUAUUGACGCUGAGGUACGAAAGCGUGGGGAGCAAACAGG
This 253-nucleotide ribosomal RNA is filed under the name uncultured prokaryote. Its description in RNAcentral is "partial 16S ribosomal RNA". It matches the Rfam family "Bacterial small subunit ribosomal RNA", at positions 524 to 776 of the family's 1533-position model. The record is from RNAcentral.